RNAcentral lists this non-coding RNA (105 nucleotides) under Flavobacterium psychrophilum. Lineage: Bacteria; Pseudomonadati; Bacteroidota; Flavobacteriia; Flavobacteriales; Flavobacteriaceae. The record is from RNAcentral.
AUCGUCUCAAAGGGGUGCUAGAUUUCAAAAAACGAAUAACAGCUGAGAUUAUACCCACAGAACCUGAGCAAGUAAUGUUGCUAAGGGAAUAAAUGACAAAUAAGG